RNAcentral lists this ribosomal RNA (770 nucleotides) under uncultured Neocallimastigales. RNAcentral's name for it is "partial large subunit ribosomal RNA". The stretch from base 4 to 660 matches the Rfam family "Eukaryotic large subunit ribosomal RNA", at positions 24 to 664 of the family's 3401-position model. Lineage: Eukaryota; Fungi; Neocallimastigomycota; Neocallimastigomycetes; Neocallimastigales. The record is from RNAcentral.
GUACACGCUGUGACUAGCAUAUCAAUAAGCGGAGGAAAAGAAACUAACAAGGAUUCCCUCAGUAACGGCGAGUGAAGCGGGAAGAGCUCAAAUUUGAAAUCUUGAAAGGUCACCUUUCACGAAUUGUAGUUUAAAGAAGUGUUUUCUGUUACGAUCGUAAUAUAAGUUCUUGGAAUAGGACAUCACAGAGGGUGAGAAUCCCGUCUAUGAUUGCGAUUUGUAGCUUUGUGAUACACUUUCAAAGAGUCGGGUUGUUUGGGAAUGCAGCCCAAAACGGGAGGUAAAUUUCUUCUAAGGCUAAAUAUUGGCGAGAGACCGAUAGCGAACAAGUACCGUGAGGGAAAGAUGAAAAGAACUUUGAAAAGAGAGUUAAAUAGUACGUGAAAUUGUCAAAAGGGAAGCGUUUAACACCAGUGUUGUUUUCUGAAAAUCAACCUCUGUUAGCUUUAUGCAUGUUUGUUUAGAUCUAAUCAGCUAUCUUUCAUGUUCUAUUGUUUGCAGUGGUGCACUUUUCAGUUUACAGGUCAACAUCAGUUUUUUUUACCGUAAAAAAGUUAAAGAAAGGUAGCUCAUGGCUCCGGUCGUGAGUGUUAUAGUCUUUUUCCUAUGCGGUAGGAGAGACUGAGGUCUGCAGUGUAGGCUAUUUGGCUAGAUACUCAGGUGCUAUGUGAUACCAUUUCAUAAACAACUUGUUGAUUAUGUUUUGUCUAUUGCAUACUCGCUUGUACUAUCAUACCUACGCUUAGGAUGUUGAGUAGCGACAUACGCAC